AAAUAGUGGAAACCAGGAAAUUCAUAUGUUUAUAUGGUGCUUUCAAUUAAACAGCAAGAGAUUGUCAGUACUUUCCUGCUGAUGAAGUCAGAAAAGCAAGAAAAUAGGGGGAAAGGAAAAAUUGAAGGAGAGAGAAAAUGUAGGAAGAUAUGGAAGAGGAAAGAUGCAGGAGAACAAACUCAGCAGAAAGGAAAUAGGCAGUGCUACUGUGGGAACCCUCCAUUAAACAGAGGAAAUAACCAAAAUAACCAACCACAGCCAUCACAGAAGGC
This is a long non-coding RNA of Gopherus flavomarginatus (Mexican gopher tortoise), 272 nucleotides long. RefSeq lists it as uncharacterized. Lineage: Eukaryota; Metazoa; Chordata; Testudines; Testudinidae. The transcript has 3 exons. The record is from RefSeq and is a predicted model, not a curated record.